CGAGAAAGGAAUUGGGCGCCCAUGGCUAACCUCCAACCUGAGCGUUGGAAGGGGUCUGCGUGCUCGCCGCCUGGGUGGAAUUUUAGCCUCCCUCACCGCCAGCAGCCCUCGCGGCCCGAGUCGCACCUGCUCUGUCGUCUGGUUCACAAGCAACAGGCUCUGAGGCCGGGGUCCCAGGGCGCUGAUGGCUCCUCCUCCCUACGGUGCUCCAGGCCGGCCUGCCAGUGGCCCGGUGCCUCUCGCUAAUGCGCGUUCUGCAGCCUGACAAAGCUCUGGACUUGGCAUAAAAUCCAACUAUUGGGCCAGGUCCAAGAUGUUGUAUAAAGGCGACUUCCCCUGUCUCAGUGAACACAAAUCUGAAAAAAAAUUGAAAAGAAAAUACCCUUCAUGAAUGAUUGGAUUUUAGACUCAUGGAUCUAUUUGCUCCGUCUCCUGAUUUUACAAAGACUUUUCCUAGAAAGUGACAUUACAAGAUUCCUGGCAUAUGAUUGGAUUGGCAAAUAAUUCAGGAGUUUUAUAGUUUCUGGAAAUAGAACUGCCUUAUGACCCAGCAAUCCCACUGCUGGGCAUACACACUGAGGAAACCAGAAGAGAAAGAGACACGUGUACCCCAAUGUUCAUCACAGCACUGUUUAUAAUAGCCAG
Bos taurus (domestic cattle) is the source of this 645-nucleotide long non-coding RNA. The record is from Ensembl. Lineage: Eukaryota; Metazoa; Chordata; Mammalia; Artiodactyla; Bovidae.